AUUGAACGCUGGCGGCAGGCCUAACACAUGCAAGUCGAGCGGAUGAAGGGAGCUUGCUCCUGGAUUCAGCGGCGGACGGGUGAGUAAUGCCUAGGAAUCUGCCUGGUAGUGGGGAUAACGUCCGGAAACGGGCGCUAAUACCGCAUACGUCCUGAGGGAGAAAGUGGGGGAUCUUCGGACCUCACGCUAUCAGAUGAGCCUAGGUCGGAUUAGCUAGUUGGUGGGGUAAAGGCCUACCAAGGCGACGAUCCGUAACUGGUCUGAGAGGAUGAUCAGUCACACUGGAACUGAGACACGGUCCAGACUCCUACGGGAGGCAGCAGGGGGGAAUAUUGGACAAUGGGCGAAAGCCUGAUCCAGCCAUGCCGCGUGUGUGAAGAAGGUCUUCGGAUGGUAAAGCACUUUAAGUUGGGAGGAAGGGCAGUAAGUUAAUACCUUGCUGUUUUGACGUUACCAACAGAAUAAGCACCGGCUAACUUCGU
This 482-nucleotide ribosomal RNA is filed under the name uncultured bacterium. RNAcentral's name for it is "partial 16S ribosomal RNA". It matches the Rfam family "Bacterial small subunit ribosomal RNA", at positions 30 to 506 of the family's 1533-position model. The record is from RNAcentral.